Molecule: ribosomal RNA, 403 nt
Filed under: Klebsiella quasipneumoniae subsp. similipneumoniae
Lineage: Bacteria; Pseudomonadati; Pseudomonadota; Gammaproteobacteria; Enterobacterales; Enterobacteriaceae
Description: bacterial SSU rRNA
Rfam family: Bacterial small subunit ribosomal RNA
Source: RNAcentral
GAAAUCCCCGGGCUCAACCUAGGAACUGCAUUCGAAACUGGCAGGCUAGAGUCUUGUAGAGGGGGGUAGAAUUCCAGGUGUAGCGGUGAAAUGCGUAGAGAUCUGGAGGAAUACCGGUGGCGAAGGCGGCCCCCUGGACAAAGACUGACGCUCAGGUGCGAAAGCGUGGGGAGCAAACAGGAUUAGAUACCCUGGUAGUCCACGCCGUAAACGAUGUCGAUUUGGAGGUUGUGCCCUUGAGGCGUGGCUUCCGGAGCUAACGCGUUAAAUCGACCGCCUGGGGAGUACGGCCGCAAGGUUAAAACUCAAAUGAAUUGACGGGGGCCCGCACAAGCGGUGGAGCAUGUGGUUUAAUUCGAUGCAACGCGAAGAACCUUACCUGGUCUUGACAUCCACAGAACUU